CCUACGGGCGGCAGCAGUGCGAAUAUUGCACAAUGGGGGAAACCCUGAUGCAGCGACGCCGCGUGAGUGAAGAAGUAAUUCGUUAUGUAAAGCUCUAUCAGCUGGGGAGAAAAUGACGGUACCUUAGUAAGCAGCCCCGGCUAACUACGUGCCAGCAUCCGCGGUAAUACGGAGGGGGCCAGCGUUAUCCGGAUUUACUGGGUGUAAAGGGAGCGUAGACGGCAGUGCAAGUCUGGAGUGAAAGGCGGGGGCUCAACCCUCGGACUGCUCUGGAUACUGUAAGGCUGGAGUGCAGGAGAGGUAAGUGGAAUUCCUAGUGUAGCGGUGAAAUGCGUAGAUAUUAGGAGGAACACCAGUGGCGAAGGCGGCUUACUGGACUGUAACUGACGUUGAGGCUCGAAAGCGUGGGGAGCAAACAGGAUUAGAUACCCCAGUAGUC
This 439-nucleotide ribosomal RNA is filed under the name uncultured bacterium. RNAcentral's name for it is "partial 16S ribosomal RNA". It matches the Rfam family "Bacterial small subunit ribosomal RNA", at positions 338 to 795 of the family's 1533-position model. The record is from RNAcentral.